UACAGAGGUCCCAAGCGUUGUUCGGAUUCACUGGGCGUAAAGGGCGCGUAGGCGGCCACCGCAAGUCGACUGUGAAAUCUCCGGGCUUAACCCGGAAAGGUCAGCCGAUACUGCGGGGCUAGAGUGCAGAAGGGGCAACUGGAAUUCUCGGUGUAGCGGUGAAAUGCGUAGAGAUCCGAAGGAACGCCGGUGGCGAAAGCGGCGGACUGGGCACCUUCUGACGCUGAGGCGCGAAAGCCAGGGGAGCAAACGGG
This 254-nucleotide ribosomal RNA is filed under the name uncultured bacterium. RNAcentral's name for it is "partial 16S ribosomal RNA". It matches the Rfam family "Bacterial small subunit ribosomal RNA", at positions 524 to 776 of the family's 1533-position model. The record is from RNAcentral.